Molecule: long non-coding RNA, 1883 nt
Organism: Mus musculus (house mouse)
Lineage: Eukaryota; Metazoa; Chordata; Mammalia; Rodentia; Muridae
Product: predicted gene 12126
Exons: 2
Source: RefSeq, marked validated
AAAGACUUUGGAAAUCAGGGCUCUGAGCAGCUCAGCCCUGUGUGCUGGCUGAAUGUGAGGCUCCCCAGAGCCCAGAAAAGCUGAGGCCCCAGAAACAGUGCUGGAGGGUGAACAACAUCCUGGCAGAGGGCUGGUCCAGGAACAUAGCCCCAGAUCCACAGUCCGAUUGUUCAGUCCAGAUUCAAGGGCCAUUGGCGGAACAAGGAAGAAGAGGGGCGGGAGAUAAUUGCAUUGAAUUCUGCCAUGGACAUCACGUCUGUGGACUGCUGCACCAGACAGAGAGAAUCUACACAGAACGCCCAGCUUCAGGUUUUAAAAAUAACCCGCUGAGAUCCGCAGUUCUAUUCAGCAGCCUAGAUGCUUCUCAGAGUUUCAGCCUGGCUACUGUUCAACUUCUGUGGACAAUCAGCUGUUUCAGCCUCUCAUCUCCCCCCCCUCCCCCAUUUGCCAAGCAACGAUGGUGAUGGGGUGGGAAAGUGCUGUCUGGAGAAAUAAAUCAGCCAACUCUCAGCCCUCUGGAUCUGGUGUUCAUAUCUGUGCCUUCAACUAAACUCAGAAUACGAAGCCAAGCCUAUGCUGGCUACAUUGGUACUGGACUCAUGUAGAUGGUUUCCUGUUUCCCAGCCAAUCCAAUACCACCACUCUUUUACAUUGUAGCAUUUAGCUUGUAGCAGAAGUCACCUUGAGAUGCUCUGGUAGUUCUGUCUAACUAAGCCUGUGAGUUGUAUGCAGAGGGCUCUGAAUACGACCCUACACAAAGUCAUAAUUUACUUAAAAUAUUUUCUUGUGACUUGAUUGCCAAGCCAUCAGAGAUGAAUUUUGUAAGUGAUGUUACAUAGUGAUGUCAAAGGCUGGACACCCCGGAGCAGGGUUCUGGAAGAUGUGAGGAAGCUACCAUGCAGAGGCUACAUAUUUUCUGUAAGUGAUCUGAGCAUGGGGGUUGGUCUCUGUGGGGCUCUGAGGAAACCCUGUGGAUGCCAAAGAAUGACUUGUGGUACUUGGAGCAGCGUCUGGUACCACAAGUGCUCAGAAAUUGAACUCUAACCAUCAUGAGCAUCCUACAGAGAAAAAACUGAAGCUUGGAAGGCUGAGUCAGUCUUAGCCAAUUGGCUAAGAUGCAGGGAAAGGCGGCCAAUGCUAGCAUCUCUGUUACAGGAAAGAGAUGCUUCUUCAUUAAGGAAGUCAGAAGACUUCAGCGCUACUUGGCUGGUCACCCAGGGAAACUCAAGACUUAAUCACUUCUGAAGGCCUGUCUACUGCUCCAGCUGGGGAAGAACUGGGGUGGUUGACAUGGGCACCUGAAAAGAGAUGGGUAUGAAAAACAAAGUGGCCAGGAAUUCAUUCCUAGAACCUGGCUGCCGACAACCCCCCCAUUCUCCUGUGAGAUUCAAACCAUCACACUGGGUUGGCACAGACCUUCUGUGACAGCUAGAGGCUUAUGUCAGCCAUCUCCAGUGCCUCUCUACUUUGCUCUGCUGGAGUCUAAAGGGGCCACCUGCAUGCUCUAGAGACUCCUGCUCAAACUAUUAAUGAACACUUAUCGGAACAGACAAGCUCACGUUGGUGGCGUGAGGCCCCACGUACACAGGGGAGUAGCCACAGUCAACAUUCGGGUAUUUCAGAGCUAGUAAAACAUGUAGUCUAUCUUUUUGCCCAAAAGAGGCUGCCUGCAUCUUUGAGUCUGUUUGAGUCAUAGAAGAUGUGAGGAUGCUUAUGUCUCUCGUCUUCCUCUUUGAUCUCUGUAAACUGGGGACUUUGGGAGACCUGGUUAGAAGUGUUUUGUUCAGUUUUGUGGCAUCUUGUGUUUCCCACUGUUUGGAAGGCACAUGACUUCCUCUUUGACCUGUGUGAACUCUAUGGGUUUCUUAAGCAUUAAAAGCUUU